AUGAUCACACUCUACAGGGAAAUGGAAAGAGGGAAGGAAUUUAUGAUGAGGCAAGAGCUUAUUGAUGUUGCUGAGGCCAGUGGUCUGUCAGAACAUGCAAUAGGCCCAAACAACAGUAGGAAUUCUCGAAAUGAAGGUUACAGUUACACUGGAUGGAAUAGCAUGAAGACGUUAACAAAUAAGGAUCUGGUUGAGAAAAAGAGUAAUCCUGCAAAGUAUUACCUAACAGAAAAGGGCAAAGAAACAACUCGCGAUUGUCUCGCACGGUCUGGAUUGGAUGGUCCUGCAGGACCUUUAACGGCGACCGGUCAUCCUGCAGUUGUGCUCAGUGAUUCAGAUUCUGAUGAAUAUGACGGCAGCAGUCCCCUGAUAGGUUCUGAAAGAAGUGGAUUUCCAAACUCAAAAGCAGGCAGUUCCAGUUCCUUUGGCAACGGCCAUGCUAUUAAUUCUCCUCUUUCAUCUCGAGGAAUGUUUGGACAGCAAUCGUUUAGUGCUAUGGGUUCUGCUGAAAAGUGUUUACUAGCUGUGCCACCUCAUCAAUCUAAUGAAAGUUUUCUGAAAGCUUAUGAAGUGGUGUUGAUAUUGUAUGAUCGAGAUACUUUCGGGCCCCGUUCCAGAAGAAAAGUUGUUGAUAAUAUACGCUCGCAGUUUAAUAUUCCUGUAGAGAUUAAACACUUGCCUGUUGGAGAUGCUCUUUGGAUUGCUCGCCAUAAAGAACUUGACACGGAGUAUGUUCUUGAUUUCAUUGUUGAAAGGAAAAAUGUGGAUGAUUUACUUGGCUCAAUUAAAGACAACAGAUACAAAGAUCAAAAACUAAGACUGAAGAAAUGUGGGCUAAGGAAGCUAAUAUAUCUAGUUGAAGGGGAUGUAAACACUGUAGAUGGAUCAGAGAGCGUUAAAACAUCCUGCUUCACUACUGAGGUUCUUGAAGGAUUUGAUGUCCAGAGAACCACUGGGUAUGCUGACACUGAAAAGAAAUACGGCCACCUCACGGGCUCUAUAAUUGAUUACUAUAGCAGAAACUUCUCUGCUGGUGCUGAUACCUCUCGACUUUGCCUGACCUACGACGAGUUUGUGAAGAGGUGUUCUGACCUUGAGAAGGUCACUAUGAGCGAUAUAUUCGCCCUUCAGCUUAUGCAGGUGCCACAAGUGACAGAUGAAGCUGCCCUUGCUGUCACGAGUCUCUACCCCACUCUUCUCUCGCUUGCUAAGGCAUACACCAUGCUUGAUGGCGAUAGGCGUGCCCAGGAGGAGAUGCUGAAGAACAAGAGCGACAUGGUCAACGCGGGGGCCAGCAAGAACAUCUUCAAGCUCAUCUGGGCGGAAGGAUGA
RNAcentral lists this ribosomal RNA (1332 nucleotides) under Triticum aestivum (bread wheat). RNAcentral's name for it is "partial small subunit ribosomal RNA". Lineage: Eukaryota; Viridiplantae; Streptophyta; Magnoliopsida; Poales; Poaceae. The record is from RNAcentral.